UACGUAGGUGGCGAGCGUUAUCCGGAAUUAUUGGGCGUAAAGAGGGAGCAGGCGGCGGCAGAGGUCUGUGGUGAAAGACUGAAGCUUAACUUCAGUAAGCCAUAGAAACCGGGCUGCUAGAGUGCAGGAGAGGAUCGUGGAAUUCCAUGUGUAGCGGUGAAAUGCGUAGAUAUAUGGAGGAACACCAGUGGCGAAGGCGACGGUCUGGCCUGUAACUGACGCUCAUUCCCGAAAGCGUGGGGAGCAAACAGG
RNAcentral lists this ribosomal RNA (252 nucleotides) under uncultured bacterium. RNAcentral's name for it is "partial 16S ribosomal RNA". It matches the Rfam family "Bacterial small subunit ribosomal RNA", at positions 524 to 776 of the family's 1533-position model. The record is from RNAcentral.